GAUGAACGCUAGCUACAGGCUUAACACAUGCAUGUCGAGGGGUAACAAGAGAAAAGCUUGCUUUUCUUGUUGACGACCGGCGCACGGGUGAGUAACGCGUAUCCAGCCUGCCUAUAACUAGGGAAUAACCUUGCGAAAGUAAGACUAAUACCCUAUGAUUUCCUUUGAUGACAUCAGAUUAGGAAUAAAGAUAUAUCGGUUAUAGAUGGGGAUGCGUCUGAUUAGCUUGUUGGCGGGGUAACGGCCCACCAAGGCAACGAUCAGUAGGGGUUCUGAGAGUAAGGUCCCCCACAUUGGAACUGAGACACGGUCCAAACUCCUACGAGAGGCAGCAGUGAGGAAUAUUAGUCAAUGGGCGGAAGCAUGAACCAGCCAAUUAGCGUGCAGGAUGACGGACCUAUGGGUUGUAUACUGCUUUUGUACAGGAAUAAAGUUAGCCACGUGUGGUUAUUUGUAGGUACUGUAUGAAUAAGGACCGGCUAAUUCCGUGCCAGCCGCCGCCGUAA
RNAcentral lists this ribosomal RNA (506 nucleotides) under uncultured bacterium. Its description in RNAcentral is "partial 16S ribosomal RNA". It matches the Rfam family "Bacterial small subunit ribosomal RNA", at positions 28 to 523 of the family's 1533-position model. The record is from RNAcentral.